RNAcentral lists this ribosomal RNA (507 nucleotides) under Triticum aestivum (bread wheat). RNAcentral's name for it is "partial small subunit ribosomal RNA". The record is from RNAcentral. Lineage: Eukaryota; Viridiplantae; Streptophyta; Magnoliopsida; Poales; Poaceae.
AUGGCGGACGGCGAGGAGCUCGACGUGUACGGCGGGAGGCUCGCGGCGAUGACGGCGAGGUACGCCAACCUCGGGGAGACAUUGGGCGACGCGGCGCUCGUCAAGAAGUUGUUGGAUACGGUGCCGGAUCGCCUCUUCCCCGUCGUCGCCGGCAUCGAGCAGUUUCACGACGUGACGAUGAUGGCGUUCGACGAGACGCUCGGGCGGCUGCGCGCGUUUGAUGAACGGGUUCGGCGCCGUGGACAAGACGGCGGCGAGCGUGGCGGCGAUCAGCUGAUGCUCACCAUGGCGCAGUGGCGGGCGCGGGAGCGGCAGCAGGAAGGAGCGCGCGACGACGACGAUGGGCGGAGCAUGGCGUCGGGCUUCGGCGGCAACCGCCACGGACGCUGCUACAAGUGCGGCGAGCGCGGCCACUUCAAGAGGGACUGCCCCAAGCUGCAAAGGGAGCCGGCGGUGGAGCGCGCGCUGAUGGCGGACGCCGGCGUUGAAAACGGCGGACUCCUCUGA